This 393-nucleotide long non-coding RNA is filed under the name Lathyrus oleraceus (garden pea). RNAcentral describes it as "Pisum sativum (pea) long non-coding RNA (PSAT_LNC026289)". Lineage: Eukaryota; Viridiplantae; Streptophyta; Magnoliopsida; Fabales; Fabaceae. The record is from RNAcentral.
UUCAAUAUUUUUUUAAAACUAUAAACAAUCCUUACCUAUACUUAUUUAUUUAAUCAUAAACAUCACCAUGGCACCCAAGCGAUCAAGAACAAACAAUGGUCAUGCAUCCACAAGUGCUCAAAGUAUCAUUGUGGAAAACCAGGUGAAAGAGGUUUUCAUAGAAAACUUUCAGAGAUAUAGGGUUAUAGCUAAUACAAGAAAGGAUUGGAUGAGAGCUCAAUUUGAGCAAGAAGAGCAAGAUAUUUUCUAUCCAUUUUUAUGUAUCAUAACCACAUUUAAGUCGUACAUGAUUCAGACAUCUCACACAGGAAUUUCUCAUUACAUUUAGUUUUCCUUGUCGCUUGUUCCAAUCUUAUGUUUCUCUAGUUUUCAUUUUCCUUAUCUCUAGUUUCG